AGCGUUGUCCGGAAUCAUUGGGCGUAAAGCGCGCGUAGGCGGCCCUGUAAGUCCGCUGUGAAAGUCAAAGGCUCAACCUUUGAAAGCCGGUGGAUACUGCAGGGCUAGAGUCCGGAAGAGGCGAGUGGAAUUCCUGGUGUAGCGGUGGAAUGCGCAGAUAUCAGGAGGAACACCAAUAGCGAAGGCAGCUCGCUGGGACGGUACUGACGCUAAGGCGCGAAAGCGUGGGGAGCGAACAGG
RNAcentral lists this ribosomal RNA (240 nucleotides) under uncultured bacterium. Its description in RNAcentral is "partial 16S ribosomal RNA". It matches the Rfam family "Bacterial small subunit ribosomal RNA", at positions 537 to 776 of the family's 1533-position model. The record is from RNAcentral.